GCUGGCGGCAGGCCUAACACAUGCAAGUCGAACGAGAAACUUUCCUUCGGGAAAGUGGAAAGUGGCAGACGGGUGAGUAACGCGUGGGAACGUGCCUUUCGGUUCGGAAUAACUCAGGGAAACUUGGGCUAAUACCGGAUACGCCCUUCGGGGGAAAGAUUUAUCGCCGAAAGAUCGGCCCGCGUCAGAUUAGCUAGUUGGUGAGGUAAUGGCUCACCAAGGCGACGAUCUGUAGCUGGUCUGAGAGGAUGAUCAGCCACACUGGGACUGAGACACGGCCCAGACUCCUACGGGAGGCAGCAGUGGGGAAUAUUGGACAAUGGGCGAAAGCCUGAUCCAGCCAUGCCGCGUGGGUGAAGAAGGCCCUAGGGUUGUAAACCCCUUUCAGCGGGGAAGAUAAUGACGGUACCCGCAGAAGAAGCCCCGGCUAACUCCGUGCCAGCAGCCGCGGUAAUACGGAGGGGGCCUAGCGUUGUUCGGAAUUACUGGGCGUAAAGCGCGCGUAGGCGGACUUUCAAGUCAGGGGUGAAAUCCCGAGGCUCAACCUCGGAACUGCCUUUGAUACUGUAAGUCUUGAGUCCGAGAGAGGUGAGUGGAAUUCCUAGUGUAGAGGUGAAAUUC
This 621-nucleotide ribosomal RNA is filed under the name uncultured Hyphomicrobiales bacterium. RNAcentral's name for it is "bacterial SSU rRNA". It matches the Rfam family "Bacterial small subunit ribosomal RNA", at positions 35 to 689 of the family's 1533-position model. The record is from RNAcentral. Lineage: Bacteria; Pseudomonadati; Pseudomonadota; Alphaproteobacteria; Hyphomicrobiales.